Oncorhynchus tshawytscha (Chinook salmon) is the source of this 612-nucleotide long non-coding RNA. The record is from Ensembl. Lineage: Eukaryota; Metazoa; Chordata; Actinopteri; Salmoniformes; Salmonidae.
AGUGGGCUAGGGGUCGGGCUAGAUAUGGUGCUCGAUAUGGGGCUUAAGCUGGGGCUAGAUGUGGGGCUAGAGGUGGGGCUAGACGUGGGGCUAGAGGUGGGCUAGAGGUGGGGCUAGAGAUGGGCUAGAGGUGAGGCUGGAGAUGGAGAUGGGGCUAGAGAUGGGACUAGAGGUGGGGCUAUAGAUGGGCUAGAGCUGGGGCUAGAGCUGUGGCUAGAUGUGGGGCUAGAACUGUGGCUAGAUGUGGGGCUAGAACUAGGGCUAGAGAUGGGGCUAGAGAUGGGCUAGAGCUGGGGCUAGAGCUGGGGCUAGAGGUGGGGCUACAGAUGGGCUAGAGGUGGGGCUAGAUAUGGGGCUAGAGCUGUGGCUAGAUGUGGGGCUAGAACUGUGGCUAGAUGUGGGGCUAGAACUAGGGCUAGAGCUGGGGCUAGAGAUGGGCUAGAGCUGGGGCUAGAGGUGGGGCUACAGAUGGGCUAGAGGUGGGGCUAGAGAUGGGGCUAGAGGUGAGCCUAGAGGUGGGCCUAGAGGUGGGCCUAGAGAUGGGGCUAGAGAUGGGGGCUAGAGAUGGGGCUAGAGGUGGGGCAAGAUGUGGGGCUAGAGCUGUGGCUAGAG